UACAGAGGGUGCAAGCGUUGUUCGGAAUUAUUGGGCGUAAAGGGCUCGUAGGCGGUCCAUCGCGUCGGGAGUGAAAAGCUGGGGCUCAACCCCAGUCCUGCUUCCGAUACGGGUGGACUAGAGGUAUGCAGGGGAGAACGGAAUUCCUGGUGUAGCGGUGAAAUGUGCAGAUAUCAGGAGGAACACCGGUGGCGAAGGCGCCACUCUGGGCCGAAACUGACGCUGAGGAGCGAAAGCGUGGGUAGCAAACAGG
RNAcentral lists this ribosomal RNA (253 nucleotides) under uncultured bacterium. Its description in RNAcentral is "partial 16S ribosomal RNA". It matches the Rfam family "Bacterial small subunit ribosomal RNA", at positions 524 to 776 of the family's 1533-position model. The record is from RNAcentral.